Atta colombica is the source of this 393-nucleotide long non-coding RNA. RefSeq lists it as uncharacterized. NCBI's taxonomy places the organism in Eukaryota, Metazoa, Arthropoda, Insecta, Hymenoptera, Formicidae. The record is from RefSeq and is a predicted model, not a curated record. The transcript is spliced from 3 exons.
AUUAAUUGACUUAAUAAGAUCAUACCUUCAUGGAACAAACAAGAUAAAGAUUGCGUUUCACGUGAUGCGCAUGCUGCAUUAUUUAUCCUUGUUAUUCUGGUUAUUCAUUGAAUGUUAAACAAGGAUAAAUGAUGAAAGGGAACGCAGCCAAAGAUUACAAACAUUAAAGAAAUGUAUAAGCCGAUGGUGUAGAUUUAUGACAGUAUUAUUCAAAGGAAAGACAAAGCCAAGAAAAUAUAUCAAGGUUCUGCACCUAGAAAGAAGAGACCAUGGGAAUUAUAUGAGCAAAUGUCAUUUAUAAACAAGCACAUAUACAAAAGAAAAUGAGAAGAUAUAUCAACAUCAACAGAACUGUAAAUGAACCCUCACAGUUAAAUAUAAGUCAGUGAGAAA